CCUACGGGGGGCAGCAGUGGGGAAUAUUGCACAAUGGGCGCAAGCCUGAUGCAGCCAUGCCGCGUGUGUGAAGAAGGCCUUCGGGUUGUAAAGCACUUUCAGCGGGGAGGAAGGCGGUGAGGUUAAUAACCUCAUCGGUUGACGUUACCCGCAGAAGAAGCACCGGCUAACUCCGUGCCAGCAGCCGCGGUAAUACGGAGGGUGCAAGCGUUAAUCGGAAUUACUGGGCGUAAAGCGCACGCAGGCGGUCUGUCAAGUCGGAUGUGAAAUCCCCGGGCUCAACCUGGGAACUGCAUUCGAAACUGGCAGGCUAGAGUCUUGUAGAGGGGGGUAGAAUUCCAGGUGUAGCGGUGAAAUGCGUAGAGAUCUGGAGGAAUACCGGUGGCGAAGGCGGCCCCCUGGACAAAGACUGACGCUCAGGUGCGAAAGCGUGGGGAGCAAACAGGAUUAGAUACCCGUGUAGUC
Molecule: ribosomal RNA, 465 nt
Filed under: uncultured Klebsiella sp.
Lineage: Bacteria; Pseudomonadati; Pseudomonadota; Gammaproteobacteria; Enterobacterales; Enterobacteriaceae
Description: bacterial SSU rRNA
Rfam family: Bacterial small subunit ribosomal RNA
Source: RNAcentral